Long non-coding RNA from Juglans regia (Persian walnut), 2532 nucleotides. RefSeq lists it as uncharacterized. The transcript has 8 exons. The record is from RefSeq and is a predicted model, not a curated record. NCBI's taxonomy places the organism in Eukaryota, Viridiplantae, Streptophyta, Magnoliopsida, Fagales, Juglandaceae.
GAAAGCUCCUUUCCUCUCUCUACGGCUAACACAGAAGAGAAUUGAGAGGUUGGAGUCCUCAAAAGCCUCAUCUACAAGAGGAGAGUGAAAGAAAGAAGAUAAAAUAUGUCUACCAACAGUUCCGCAUUUACGAUAAUUUUGGGCUCAUCGACAAAUUUUAAGGGAGAUGGGAUAUGAGUUCACUAUAAUGAGUGCAGACAUAGAUGAGAAAAUUAUUAGGAGGGAAAAGCCAGCUGAUUUGGUAAUGGCUCUAGCUGAAGCGAAGGCAGAUGCCAUUGUAUCCAGGCUCAAAAGUACAGCUCAAUUUGAGGGGGAGGCUCAUUCAACACUGUUGAUAACUGCAGAUACAGGGUGUAUGAAGGGAUAAUCAGAGAAAAACCAUCCAGCAAGGAAGAAUCGCGGUAGUUUAUCAAAGGAUAUUCUGGUGGUCAAGCAGAGGUGGUAGGAUCUGUUCUUGUAACUAAUCUUAAGAGUGGAAAAAUAAAUGGUGGAUGGGACAGAGCCGAGAUCAAUGAGGGAUUUACACUCAAUGUUGCUGGAGGUUUGAUGCUGGAACAUCCAAUGACAUUGCCUUUUGUGGAAGCAGUGGUCAGCAGAGCUUACUGUCUCUCUCUCUCUCUCUCUCUCUCUCUCCCUCUCUCUCUCUCUCUCUAUUAGUCUCUCACAUACACACAUGCCCACACUUUGGAGGAGCUAGUUUUAGGCACCACACUAUUGUGGAUGGCACCCAGACUAUUCAAGUCUUUCGGACACCUAAGCCUCUCCAAAGAACUCGCCUGACCAGUGAUCCACAUCCCCAGCAUUGGCAUUCAAAAAAUAUGUAUGAUUAUAUCAUCCAUGGGAUCAUGAAACGCGUGGCACUACACCCAUAGGAGGAGCCAGGGAUCGAGGGGCAGUUCACUUUGGUUUCCAUAAUGAUCUCAAUUUUAAGGUAAAGUUUCCAUACGUUUUACAUCGAGUCAUAUUAAAUUCUAAAUUUAUUUUUGUAAGAUCUAAUUAGAAAAUGAUAAAAACAAAAACAUUUAACAAGGCUUUUCAAUGUAACGAAAUUUGUGCAUCAAGAAAAGAGAAUAAUUAACGUUUUUGUAUGUGGAUUUCUGAAACUAAAUAUGCUCUUUAUCUUAAAAGAAAUAUGGAUAAAUUUAGUUCUGCAUUUUAGAAGAAAGGAUUAUUUUUGUAGGAUACAAAACCAAAACACAAAUAAUAGGUUUAAACAUUGACAUUGACGGACUAACCUAAUAAUUAAGAAUAAUGCUAUGAUGCCUUUUAAUUUGUACCACUCAUUUUGCCUAUUUGAUAUGGCACUACAUAGCUUAUUAAAAAAUGUUUUAAAAUAUAUAUUCAAUAUAAGAUGGUGCUCGAAACACAAAAAGAUGAAGACGAAAAUCCUAAAUUCCCUUUAAUAUUUUAUGUUUGUAUUUUUAAUUUUUUUAGUAAUUAGCCAUGUGAUAGUGCAUUAACACUACAAGAAAUAAGGCUUUCUGUGGUCAAAAUUAUUUCCAGCAACUAGUAUUUUGUUGCAACAAGUCAAUAAUUACUGUUGCAAGGCUUCAUUUCCGUCAAGUGGCUGAAUCGCCACAAAAACCGCACUUUUCCUAGCAUAAAUUCAGCGCUGCAAAUACAAUUGUUGCAAAAUGUCAAUACAAUAGACGACGUUUUGCGACAAUUUUUAUUUGUGGUGAUUUUAAGUUUGCAGCAAAACUCAAGUUUUAACAUUUUCGUUCCUUUAUUUUCGGCGAACAAAAAGUUGAGGCUAAAAACCACUAUUGCGGCCAAGUAAAUUUCUAAAGGCAUUGGUUCUUCGAGAUUUAUAUUAGUAUAUUUUUACUUAAAAAGUGGGGAUAGAUAAGCAUAUGGAUCGACUGAGUUUUGUAGUAUUUAUUAUUAGUCAUGUGAGUCUCUCAAGGAACAUUAAAUAAUCAACAAAUAUGGUGAACCAAUUUUAUAUAUGUAUUGAUGAUUGUGUUCUUUUACUCUAAUCAUGUUGUGAAAGUCACCAAAAAUUCAUUCAGAUUCUAGCUGGCUCGCCCGUGGAACAAUGUUAACGACAUUCACUACAACAAAUUUUAGCUUUUGGGAUGAAAUUAUUUAGAAACGAACUAAAUUUCACCCCGAAAAGUAAUUAUUGGAGAAGUCUAAAAAAAUUGAUGACUUUAUAAAAUCGUUCAAAGGGCUAAAUAUUCGUUCGAACUAGAUCUUCUGUGACGAAUUAGGUCUUCUAAAAAAAUCAAGCUCAUUCGAAUGAAAAAAAAUUCUGUUCGAACUUAGAAUUAAUGUUUGUUCGAAUGGUUUAUAAUUUGUUUGAAUAAUAAUCUUAGUGGGGAAGUAACUUAUUUUGCCAGAGAAAGUUCGAAUCCAUUCGAACCUCAAUUGGUUUGUUCAAACGGAGAAGAUUUGGUAAGAAAUUAGGCAGGAAGGUUGCAAGAUUGUUUGAACUACACAUAUUGCGCUUGAACACAACAUUUAUGCAUUCGAAUGGAUCAGUUGGUGUGAAAUUAAAUUAAAACUGUCGGGGAAUUUUUUAAACCUUGU